Molecule: ribosomal RNA, 138 nt
Filed under: uncultured eukaryote
Lineage: Eukaryota
Description: partial 18S ribosomal RNA
Rfam family: Eukaryotic small subunit ribosomal RNA
Source: RNAcentral
UGGUGGAGUGAUUUGUCUGGUUAAUUCCGAUAACGAGCGAGACCUCAGCUUACUAAUUAGUUGUGCUCAUCUUCGGAUGGGUAGGACUUCUUAGAGGGACUAUUGGCGAGUAGCCAAUGGAAGUUUGAGGCAAUAACA